CCUACGGGAGGCUGCAGUGGGGAAUAUUGCACAAUGGGGGAAACCCUGAUGCAGCGACGCCGCGUGAGCGAUGAAGUCUUUCUGUAUGUAAAGCUCUAUCAGCAGGGAAGAAAAUGACGGUACCUGACUAAGAAGCCCCGGCUAACUACGUUCCAGCCGCCGCGGUAAUACGUAGGGGGCAAGCGUUAUCCGGAUUUACUGGGUGUAAAGGGAGCGUAGACGGCGGUGCAAGCCAGCUGUGAAAGCCCGGGGCUCAACCCCGGGACUGCAGUUGGAACUGUGCUGCUAGAGUGUCGGAGAGGCAGGCGGAAUUCCUAGUGUAGCGGUGAAAUGCGUAGAUAUUAGGAGGAACACCAGUGGCGAAGGCGGCCUGCUGGACGAUGACUGACGUUGAGGCUCGAAAGCGUGGGGAGCAAACAGGAUUAGAUACCCUAGUAGUC
RNAcentral lists this ribosomal RNA (440 nucleotides) under uncultured bacterium. RNAcentral's name for it is "partial 16S ribosomal RNA". It matches the Rfam family "Bacterial small subunit ribosomal RNA", at positions 338 to 795 of the family's 1533-position model. The record is from RNAcentral.